AAGUGACUAGGACACUGGCUCCCGCUGGUCUGAGAGUCCGCCUCACCGGUACUGGGAGCGGCGAAGGAGGCAGUACCUGCGGGGGCGAAACCAGGUCUCAGGACUGGACCCUUCCUUGAGGGGCGGGGUCUGCGGCCGAGCGGAAGAAUGGUGAAUCCAAACCGCGGUAGAAUCUGAUCGUCAGAUGGUCCUGGGCGAAGUGCCGCCGGUGCCGAGGUUGAGUUCCUACUGCUGCCAGGCGUGCCGCACAAUCCCCCGGCCUCGCGGAGAUGCCCGAGUGGAGAGGGAGAGGAGAACGUGAGCGUCCCCGGGAACGCUGGGGCUGAGCCUUCGGGGCGCGGUGGGGGAGGUCUCCUAGUGGGCGUCCGCGCUGCACGUGUCUGUAGAGCUUUGGUGGACGGUGACGCUGGGGCGGCGAGCUGGCCCGGACUAGGGUGUAUCUUUUAUCUCCAAUUUCUUCCACUGUGUCCCGGAACACUGGAUGGAUAUGAAUUAGAUCAUUGCUACAAAUUACUUGCCUUGAAUCCUACGAUGGUAGGCCUGACAUUUUUGUGGUGGCGGAAUAGGCCAAAUAAAUAAACUUAAAAAAAAUUAAAAGCAGUCUUCUGGAGGAGCAGUUCCAGCAGGGCAAGCUUCUUGCAUGCAUCGCUUCAAGACCAGGCCAGUGUGGCCAAGCAGAUGGCUAUGUGCUGGAGGGCAAGGAGCUAGAGUUCUAUCUGAGGAAAAUCAAAGCCUGGAAAGUCAGAUGAGGAUUGAAGGAGAUCCUGCCAGGAAAGCCCCCAGGCUGCCCUUCUGCUUCUGCUGGUGGCAUGAAGGUUCCCUCCCGGGGCCUGAGCUUUAGAGGGCCCGGGUGAGGGGUGAAGAAUCUAGGAGCCCGAGGCCUGGAAGUCAGCUCCCCACCCCCAACCCUCCAGGUGAUGAUAAAACAAUGUGAUCGGCUAUAAAAACUCUGUACCCCGGCUGUUCGAGGCUGCACUCUUACCAAGAGUGUUGGUCCCAAUUGGUCCGCCUUGCCUCUCAUUGUAAUAAACUUUGUUGUGACUGUCA
Molecule: long non-coding RNA, 1047 nt
Organism: Lynx canadensis (Canada lynx)
Lineage: Eukaryota; Metazoa; Chordata; Mammalia; Carnivora; Felidae
Exons: 5
Source: RefSeq, a predicted model, not a curated record